This 253-nucleotide ribosomal RNA is filed under the name uncultured bacterium. RNAcentral describes it as "partial 16S ribosomal RNA". It matches the Rfam family "Bacterial small subunit ribosomal RNA", at positions 524 to 776 of the family's 1533-position model. The record is from RNAcentral.
UACGAAGGGGGCUAGCGUUGCUCGGAAUCACUGGGCGUAAAGCGCACGUAGGCGGUUUGUUAAGUCAGGGGUGAAAUCCUGGAGCUCAACUCCAGAACUGCCUUUGAUACUGGCGAUCUUGAGUCCGGGAGAGGUGAGUGGAACUGCGAGUGUAGAGGUGAAAUUCGUAGAUAUUCGCAAGAACACCAGUGGCGAAGGCGGCUCACUGGCCCGGUACUGACGCUGAGGUGCGAAAGCUAGGGGAGCAAACGGG